AAGGAAUUGACGGGGGCCCGCACAAGCGGAGGAACAUGUGGUUUAAUUCGAUGAUACGCGAGGAACCUUACCCGGGCUUGAAAGUUAGCGACAGACCCUGAAAGGGGUUUUCUCUUCGGAGCGCGAAACUAGGUGCUGCAUGGUUGUCGUCAGCUCGUGCCGUGAGGUGUAGGGUUAAGUCCCAUAACGAGCGCAACCCCUAUCGUUAGUUGCUAGCAGGUAAUGCUGAGGACUCUAGCGAGACUGCCGGUGCAAACCGCGAGGAAGGUGGGGAUGACGUCAAAUCAGCACGGCCCUUACGUCCGGGGCGACACACGUGUUACAAUGGAUGGUACAGAGGGUUGCGACAUAGCGAUAUGAAGCUAAUCUCUAAAAGCCAUUCUCAGUUCGGAUCGCAGGCUGAAACUCGCCUGCGUGAAGUUGGAUUCGCUAGUAAUCGCAUAUCAGCCAUGAUGCGGUGAAUACGUUCCCGGGCCUUGUACACACCGCCCGUCAAGCCAUGGAAGUUGGGGGUGCCUGAAGCACGUGACCGUCAAAGGAGCGUGCUAGGGCAAAACCGA
This 560-nucleotide ribosomal RNA is filed under the name Rikenella sp. Its description in RNAcentral is "bacterial SSU rRNA". It matches the Rfam family "Bacterial small subunit ribosomal RNA", at positions 903 to 1471 of the family's 1533-position model. The record is from RNAcentral. Lineage: Bacteria; Pseudomonadati; Bacteroidota; Bacteroidia; Bacteroidales; Rikenellaceae.